UCCUACCUACUGGCUGCCCUCGGGGGCAACCCCUUGCCCAGCACCAAGGACGUCAAGAAGAUCCUGUACAAUAUAAGCAAUAAGGCCAAUGGCAACCAGUGCAGCAAGAUCAUCAGUGAGCUGAAUGGAAAAAACAUUAAAGGUGUCAUUGCCCAGGGUAUUGGCAAGUUGCCAUUGUGCUCUCCCACAAGGCUGUGGCCGCCUCUGCUGCCCCGGCUCUGUAGCUCCUGCUGCUGGCCCUGCCCCUACUACAAAGAAGAAGAAACAUGAGAAGAAGGAGUCCCAAGAGUCACAUGGUGACAUA
RNAcentral lists this long non-coding RNA (304 nucleotides) under Homo sapiens (human). RNAcentral's name for it is "non-protein coding lnc-KIAA1551-8:2". The record is from RNAcentral. Lineage: Eukaryota; Metazoa; Chordata; Mammalia; Primates; Hominidae.